RNAcentral lists this ribosomal RNA (320 nucleotides) under uncultured Bacteroidales bacterium. RNAcentral's name for it is "partial 16S ribosomal RNA". Lineage: Bacteria; Pseudomonadati; Bacteroidota; Bacteroidia; Bacteroidales. The record is from RNAcentral.
GGAGUUUGGACCGUGUCUCAGUUCCAAUGUGGGGGACCUUCCUCUCAGAACCCCUACUGAUCGAUGACUUGGUGGGCCGUUACCCCGCCAACUAUCUAAUCAGACGCAUCGCCAUCCCAUACCGAUGAAUCUUUACUCAAAGCAUGAUGUCAUAUUCUGAGACCAUCGGGCAUUAAUCUUACUUUCGCAAGGCUAUUCCCGAGUAUGGGGGAGGUUCGAUACGCGUUACGCACCCGUGCGCCGGUCGCCGGCAAAGAAAGCAAGCUUCCUUCCCGCUGCCCCUCGACUUGCAUGUGUUAGGCCUGUAGCUAGCGUUCAUC